UGAUUUAUUUUGGCUGAGGUAAAAAUUUGUUUGGUGGCUAACUUGCGACUUCAAAUACACAAUUACACGUCAUCAUUCCAUGUCAUCAUAAACGAGGGAUAUACGAAAGGUCGCCCUCUUCAACAUGAGAUUUUCUUUCUUUUUACACUUUUUUUUUUUUUACCUGAGUUCUUCACUUGUUCUUCACCUGAGUUCUUCUUCAUUUUCGUUGAUGGAUCUGGUUCUAGUAAUUGUUGUUUAU
RNAcentral lists this long non-coding RNA (241 nucleotides) under Capsella rubella. RNAcentral describes it as "long non-coding RNA (CRUB_LNC000602)". The record is from RNAcentral. Lineage: Eukaryota; Viridiplantae; Streptophyta; Magnoliopsida; Brassicales; Brassicaceae.